UCUACGGGUGGCAGCAGUGGGGAAUAUUGCACAAUGGGGGAAACCCUGAUGCAGCGACGCCGCGUGAGUGAAGAAGUAUUUCGGUAUGUAAAGCUCUAUCUGCAGGGAAGUAAUAGCGACCUUUGGGUCGCCAGACGGUAUCUGUUUAAGAAGCCCCGGCUAACUACGUGCCAGCAGCCGCGGUAAUACGGAGGAUGCGAGCGUUAUCCGGAUUUAUUGGGUUUAAAGGGUGCGUAGGCGGGAUGCCAAGUCAGCGGUAAAAAUGCGGUGCUAAACGCCGUCGAGCCGUUGAAACUGGCGUUCUUGAGUAGGCUAGAAGUAUGCGGAAUGCGUGGUGUAGCGGUGAAAUGCAUAGAUAUCACGCAGAACUCCGAUUGCGAAGGCAGCAUACCGGCGCCCUACUGACGCUGAGGCACGAAAGCGUGGGUAUCGAACAGGAUUAGAUACCCUUGUAGUC
This 457-nucleotide ribosomal RNA is filed under the name uncultured bacterium. RNAcentral describes it as "partial 16S ribosomal RNA". It matches the Rfam family "Bacterial small subunit ribosomal RNA", at positions 338 to 795 of the family's 1533-position model. The record is from RNAcentral.